Molecule: long non-coding RNA, 1174 nt
Organism: Homo sapiens (human)
Lineage: Eukaryota; Metazoa; Chordata; Mammalia; Primates; Hominidae
Product: long intergenic non-protein coding RNA 1741
Source: Ensembl
AGAAUUCUAAAGCUCAGAGAUUCUCCAUGCUGCAUCCCCCAUACCAUCUAUAUCUAAGGCUGGGGUGUAAAGUAAGAAAUGGUUUUCAACAAGCAUGCUAGGGCCACCACAACUAAUCCCACUGCCCUGCAAGCAUCUCCAGAUGAUUUUGAUGCAGUUGGUCCACAGGUCACAGCCUGAAAAACUCUAAGACCGUCAGCUGAUCAACUACAAUAAUAUUCUCUCCAGCAUUCCAGACAAUGGCUUUCCAACCCCUUUAAGGACUGGGGUUUACUACCUACUCAAGCAGUCCAUUUGUCUUCAGUCAGAUGACUAUUAAAAAGUUCUUUCAUAUACUGGGUCCAAACAGGACUUUCUGAACUUUCUGGCUAUUGUUACCAGUUCUCUUUUGUGCAGCUCAGAGUAUUUCGAGGCCAAUGGCCUGAGCUACAAGUGAUUGAAAGGGCAACUUAGGUUCAGGUGAUUCCUCGAAAGAUUUGGUCCACAUGACUGCUCACUCACCGGUAAAAGGGCUUAAUGUAAGCCAGCUAUAUUGCUGACUGUGCAAGGAUGUGGGGUUGUCUGAGAAUAGCCUUCAAUGGCACUGACUGACUAGGAGAGCCUCAAGAAUACUUUAUAAAGCCCAUGGUUGCGCAGUGAAUCUGGGAACCUGAUAAGAAAAUAGGUUGCUACGGUUCUGCUUAUUAGAGUGGACUCCUAGACCUAAUGAAAAUGCUAAAUUAUAAAUCCAGAAUAAGAACUGGAAUAAAGUUCUCUAGAAUUACUAGAAACAGCAAAAGAAAACUGGAUGAAGACAAUAUUGGAGCUUUUCUACUUUAGCUGACAAGCUGGCACUGUACUGGAUACUGAGAAAAAAGUGGUAAACAAAACUAACAUGGUCUCUACUCUCCUGGAAUUAAAAGUCUAGUGAGGGAUGACACAGUAAACCAUAAAGAAAAUAUUAAACGGGGUAGUGAGGGCUGUCCUCUCAACUUGGAAGACCAUCCCAGCUGAGAGGAAUCAGUGUCACCAGAAGGACCACAAGGAGACAAACAUGAGUUGGAAUCCUUCUUUUACCACUUCCUAGUGGUGGGUCUUAGGGAAUUUACUUAACUUCCUGGACCUCAGUUAUAUAUCCUGUAAAACAGAGAAAAUUAUACCUACCUUUAAAUAAAGAAUUGCUGUGGAAAUGAAA